UACGGAGGGGGCUAGCGUUGUUCGGAAUUACUGGGCGUAAAGCGCACGUAGGCGGCUUUGUAAGUUAGAGGUGAAAGCCCAGGGCUUAACCCUGGAAUUGCCUUUAAGACUGCAUCGCUCGAAUUGUGGAGAGGUAAGUGGAAUUCCGAGUGUAGAGGUGAAAUUCGUAGAUAUUCGGAAGAACACCAGUGGCGAAGGCGACUUACUGGACACAUAUUGACGCUGAGGUGCGAAAGCGUGGGGAGCAAACAGG
Molecule: ribosomal RNA, 253 nt
Filed under: uncultured bacterium
Lineage: Bacteria
Description: partial 16S ribosomal RNA
Rfam family: Bacterial small subunit ribosomal RNA
Source: RNAcentral